RNAcentral lists this ribosomal RNA (209 nucleotides) under Streptomyces swartbergensis. RNAcentral describes it as "partial 16S ribosomal RNA". It matches the Rfam family "Bacterial small subunit ribosomal RNA", at positions 1339 to 1533 of the family's 1533-position model. The record is from RNAcentral. Lineage: Bacteria; Bacillati; Actinomycetota; Actinomycetes; Kitasatosporales; Streptomycetaceae.
UAAUCGCAGAUCAGCAUUGCUGCGGUGAAUACGUUCCCGGGCCUUGUACACACCGCCCGUCACGUCACGAAAGUCGGUAACACCCGAAGCCGGUGGCCCAACCCCCUUGUGGGGAGGGAGCUGUCGAAGGUGGGACUGGCGAUUGGGACGAAGUCGUAACAAGGUAGCCGUACCGGAAGGUGCGGCUGGAUCACCUCCUUUCUAAGGAG